UGGGGAAUAUUGGACAAUGGGCGAAAGCCUGAUCCAGCAAUGCCGCGUGAGUGAUGAAGGCCUUAGGGUUGUAAAGCUCUUUUACCCGGGAUGAUAAUGACAGUACCGGGAGAAUAAGCUCCGGCUAACUCCGUGCCAGCAGCCGCGGUAAUACGGAGGGAGCUAGCGUUAUUCGGAAUUACUGGGCGUAAAGCGCACGUAGGCGGCUUUGUAAGUUAGAGGUGAAAGCCUGGAGCUCAACUCCAGAAUUGCCUUUAAGACUGCAUCGCUUGAAUCCAGGAGAGGUGAGUGGAAUUCCGAGUGUAGAGGUGAAAUUCGUAGAUAUUCGGAAGAACACCAGUGGCGAAGGCGGCUCACUGGACUGGUAUUGACGCUGAGGUGCGAAAGCGUGGGGAGCGAAACAGGAUUAGAUACCCUGGUAGUCCACGCCGUAAACGAUGAUAACUAGCUGUCGGGGCUCUUAGAGCUUCGGUGGCGCAGCU
RNAcentral lists this ribosomal RNA (482 nucleotides) under uncultured Pseudomonadota bacterium. Its description in RNAcentral is "bacterial SSU rRNA". It matches the Rfam family "Bacterial small subunit ribosomal RNA", at positions 355 to 853 of the family's 1533-position model. Lineage: Bacteria; Pseudomonadati; Pseudomonadota. The record is from RNAcentral.